AGUGAACGCUGGCGGUAGGCCUAACACAUGCAAGUCGAACGGCAGCACAGUAAGAGCUUGCUCUUACGGGUGGCGAGUGGCGGACGGGUGAGGAAUACAUCGGAAUCUACUUUUUCGUGGGGGAUAACGUAGGGAAACUUACGCUAAUACCGCAUACGACCUACGGGUGAAAGCAGGGGAUCUUCGGACCUUGCGCGAUUGAAUGAGCCGAUGUCGGAUUAGUUAGUUGGCGGGGUAAAGGCCCACCAAGGCGACGAUCCGUAGCUGGUCUGAGAGGAUGAUCAGCCACACUGGAACUGAGACACGGUCCAGACUCCUACGGGAGGCAGCAGUGGGGAAUAUUGGACAAUGGGCGAAAGCCUGAUCCAGCUAUACCGCGUGGGUGAAGAAGGCCUUCGGGUUGUAAAGCCCUUUUGUUGGGAAAGAAAAGCAGCAGGUUAAUACCCCGAUGUUCUGACGGUACCCAAAGAAUAAGCACCGGCUAACUUCGUG
RNAcentral lists this ribosomal RNA (492 nucleotides) under uncultured bacterium. RNAcentral describes it as "partial 16S ribosomal RNA". It matches the Rfam family "Bacterial small subunit ribosomal RNA", at positions 29 to 507 of the family's 1533-position model. The record is from RNAcentral.